AUUGAACGCUGGCGGCAGGCCUAACACAUGCAAGUCGAGCGGAUGAAGGGAGCUUGCUCCUGGAUUCAGCGGCGGACGGGUGAGUAAUGCCUAGGAAUCUGCCUGGUAGUGGGGGAUAACGUCCGGAAACGGGCGCUAAUACCGCAUACGUCCUGAGGGAGAAAGUGGGGGAUCUUCGGACCUCACGCUAUCAGAUGAGCCUAGGUCGGAUUAGCUAGUUGGUGGGGUAAAGGCCUACCAAGGCGACGAUCCGUAACUGGUCUGAGAGGAUGAUCAGUCACACUGGAACUGGGCCACGGUCCAGACUCCUACGGGAGGCAGCAGUGGGGAAUGUUGGGCAGUGGGCGAAAGCCUGAUCCAGCCAUGCCGCGUGUGUGAAGAAGGCCUUCGGAUUGUAAAGCACUUUAAGUUGGGAGGAAGGGCAGUAAGUUAAUACCUUGCUGUUUUGACGUUACCAACAGAAUAAGCACCGGCUAACUUCGUG
RNAcentral lists this ribosomal RNA (484 nucleotides) under uncultured bacterium. RNAcentral describes it as "partial 16S ribosomal RNA". It matches the Rfam family "Bacterial small subunit ribosomal RNA", at positions 30 to 507 of the family's 1533-position model. The record is from RNAcentral.